UACGUAGGGUCCGAGCGUUGUCCGGAAUUAUUGGGCGUAAAGAGCUCGUAGGCGGUUUGUCGCGUCUGCCGUGAAAGUCCGGGGCUCAACUCCGGAUCUGCGGUGGGUACGGGCAGACUAGAGUGAUGUAGGGGAGACUGGAAUUCCUGGUGUAGCGGUGAAAUGCGCAGAUAUCAGGAGGAGCACCGAUGGCGAAGGCAGGUCUCUGGGCAUUAACUGACGCUGAGGAGCGAAAGCAUGGGGAGCGAACAGG
RNAcentral lists this ribosomal RNA (253 nucleotides) under uncultured bacterium. RNAcentral describes it as "partial 16S ribosomal RNA". It matches the Rfam family "Bacterial small subunit ribosomal RNA", at positions 524 to 776 of the family's 1533-position model. The record is from RNAcentral.